This 358-nucleotide unclassified non-coding RNA is filed under the name uncultured fungus. RNAcentral describes it as "sequence contains ITS1". The stretch from base 1 to 107 matches the Rfam family "5.8S ribosomal RNA", at positions 50 to 154 of the family's 154-position model. The record is from RNAcentral. Lineage: Eukaryota; Fungi.
GAAAUGCGAUACUUGGUGUGAAUUGCAGAAUCCCGUGAACCAUCGAGUCUUUGAACGCAAGUUGCGCCCGAUGCCAUUAGGUUGAGGGCACGUCUGCCUGGGUGUCACAUAUCGAAGCCUCCUGCCAAUUUCUCUUUGAUUAUUGUGCAGGGUGGAUGUUGGCCUCCCGUGAGCUCUUUCGUCUCAUGGUUGGUUGAAAAUUGAGACCUUGGUAGGGUGUGCCAUGAUAGAUGGUGGUUGUGUGAUCCACGAGACCAAUCAUGUGCUGCUCUAUUAAAUAUGGCCUCUUUUACCCAUAUGCGUUUCUAAACGCUCGUGAUGAGACCUCAGGUCAGGCGGGGCUACCCGCUGAAUUUAA